RNAcentral lists this ribosomal RNA (465 nucleotides) under Vreelandella stevensii. Its description in RNAcentral is "partial 16S ribosomal RNA". It matches the Rfam family "Bacterial small subunit ribosomal RNA", at positions 338 to 795 of the family's 1533-position model. The record is from RNAcentral. Lineage: Bacteria; Pseudomonadati; Pseudomonadota; Gammaproteobacteria; Oceanospirillales; Halomonadaceae.
CCUACGGGUGGCUGCAGUGGGGAAUAUUGGACAAUGGGGGCAACCCUGAUCCAGCCAUGCCGCGUGUGUGAAGAAGGCCCUCGGGUUGUAAAGCACUUUCAGUGAGGAAGAACGCCUGGUGGUUAAUACCCAUCAGGAAAGACAUCACUCACAGAAGAAGCACCGGCUAACUCCGUGCCAGCAGCCGCGGUAAUACGGAGGGUGCGAGCGUUAAUCGGAAUUACUGGGCGUAAAGCGCGCGUAGGUGGCUUGAUAAGCCGGUUGUGAAAGCCCCGGGCCCAACCUGGGAACGGCAUCCGGAACUGUCAAGCUAGAGUGCAGGAGAGGAAGGUAGAAUUCCCGGUGUAGCGGUGAAAUGCGUAGAGAUCGGGAGGAAUACCAGUGGCGAAGGCGGCCUUCUGGACUGACACUGACACUGAGGUGCGAAAGCGUGGGUAGCAAACAGGAUUAGAUACCCUAGUAGUC